CCCAGCACUGAAUCCCGUCGUUGUAACGGCGGCGGGAGAUGUGGUGUUCGGGAGGUUCCGCUUUCUUGUCGUCGUCCACUCCUGUCCAAGUUCGUCUUGAACGGGGCCCAUUUCCCAUAGAGGGUGCCAGGCCCGUAGCGACGGAGGACGGCGGCGAGAGGGACUCUCCUCAGAGUCGGGUUGCUUGAGAGUGCAGCCCUAAGUGGGUGGUAAACUCCAUCUAAGGCUAAAUAUUACCGCGAGACCGAUAGCGAACAAGUACCGU
RNAcentral lists this ribosomal RNA (265 nucleotides) under Camptogramma bilineatum. RNAcentral describes it as "partial 28S ribosomal RNA". It matches the Rfam family "Eukaryotic large subunit ribosomal RNA", at positions 108 to 354 of the family's 3401-position model. The record is from RNAcentral. Lineage: Eukaryota; Metazoa; Arthropoda; Insecta; Lepidoptera; Geometridae.